AGGAUUUAACCCAUGGUACACCAC
This 24-nucleotide non-coding RNA is filed under the name Arabidopsis thaliana (thale cress). Lineage: Eukaryota; Viridiplantae; Streptophyta; Magnoliopsida; Brassicales; Brassicaceae. The record is from RNAcentral.